Molecule: long non-coding RNA, 234 nt
Filed under: Homo sapiens (human)
Lineage: Eukaryota; Metazoa; Chordata; Mammalia; Primates; Hominidae
Description: HSALNT0098487
Source: RNAcentral
CCCAGGCUCUCAACCGGGGAGAUCCUCUCCCAGCCGCCAAGGACUCGCCAUUGUCCCUCCCUGCCCCUCCUGGCAGGUCAGCCUCCUUGUGCGGGACUGGGGUGGGCAGAGGACUGUGACCCACCCCACUCUGCAGGAGCCUAAGCACAGGGCAAGGCGCAGACCCCGCGCUCACCCAGAAGACAAUGUUGAAGCCAAACAGGAAGUAUUUCCCGCAGCAGCCGACCUCAGGUU